Molecule: ribosomal RNA, 452 nt
Filed under: uncultured bacterium
Lineage: Bacteria
Description: bacterial SSU rRNA
Rfam family: Bacterial small subunit ribosomal RNA
Source: RNAcentral
UACGGGAGGCAGCAGUGGGGAAUAUUGCACAAUGGGCGCAAGCCUGAUGCAGCCAUGCCGCGUGUAUGAAGAAGGCCUUCGGGUUGUAAAGUACUUUCAGCGGGGAGGAAGGGAGUAAAGUUAAUACCUUUGCUCAUUGACGUUACCCGCAGAAGAAGCACCGGCUAACUCCGUGCCAGCAGCCGCGGUAAUACGGAGGGUGCAAGCGUUAAUCGGAAUUACUGGGCGUAAAGCGCACGCAGGCGGUUUGUUAGUCAGAUGUGAAAUCCCCGGGCUCAACCUGGGAACUGCAUCUGAUACUGGCAAGCUUGAGUCUCGUAGAGGGGGUAGAAUUCCAGGUGUAGCGGUGAAAUGCGUAGAGAUCUGGAGGAAUACCGGUGGCGAAGGCGGCCCCUGGGACGAAGACUGACGCUCAGGUGCGAAAGCGUGGGGAGCAAACAGGGAUAGAUACC